Molecule: ribosomal RNA, 3007 nt
Filed under: Salmonella enterica subsp. enterica serovar Infantis
Lineage: Bacteria; Pseudomonadati; Pseudomonadota; Gammaproteobacteria; Enterobacterales; Enterobacteriaceae
Description: LSU rRNA
Rfam family: Bacterial large subunit ribosomal RNA
Source: RNAcentral
GGUUAAGCGACUAAGCGUACACGGUGGAUGCCCUGGCAGUCAGAGGCGAUGAAGGGCGUGCUAAUCUGCGAUAAGCGCCGGUAAGGUGAUAUGAACCGUUAUAACCGGCGAUACCCGAAUGGGGAAACCCAGUGUGACUCGUCACACUAUCAUUAACUGAAUCCAUAGGUUAAUGAGGCGAACCGGGGGAACUGAAACAUCUAAGUACCCCGAGGAAAAGAAAUCAACCGAGAUUCCCCCAGUAGCGGCGAGCGAACGGGGAGGAGCCCAGAGCCUGAAUCAGCAUGUGUGUUAGUGGAAGCGUCUGGAAAGGCGCGCGAUACAGGGUGACAGCCCCGUACACAAAAGCGCAUGUGCUGUGAGCUCGAUGAGUAGGGCGGGACACGUGGUAUCCUGUCUGAAUAUGGGGGGACCAUCCUCCAAGGCUAAAUACUCCUGACUGACCGAUAGUGAACCAGUACCGUGAGGGAAAGGCGAAAAGAACCCCGGCGAGGGGAGUGAAAAAGAACCUGAAACCGUGUACGUACAAGCAGUGGGAGCACAGGUUUACCUGUGUGACUGCGUACCUUUUGUAUAAUGGGUCAGCGACUUAUAUUCUGUAGCAAGGUUAACCGUAUAGGGGAGCCGGAGGGAAACCGAGUCUUAACCGGGCGUUAAGUUGCAGGGUAUAGACCCGAAACCCGGUGAUCUAGCCAUGGGCAGGUUGAAGGUUGGGUAACACUAACUGGAGGACCGAACCGACUAAUGUUGAAAAAUUAGCGGAUGACCUGUGGCUGGGGGUGAAAGGCCAAUCAAACCGGGAGAUAGCUGGUUCUCCCCGAAAGCUAUUUAGGUAGCGCCUCGUGAAUUCAUCUCCGGGGGUAGAGCACUGUUUCGGCUAGGGGGCCAUCCCGGCUUACCAACCCGAUGCAAACUGCGAAUACCGGAGAAUGUUAUCACGGGAGACACACGGCGGGUGCUAACGUCCGUCGUGAAGAGGGAAACAACCCAGACCGCCAGCUAAGGUCCCAAAGUCAUGGUUAAGUGGGAAACGAUGUGGGAAGGCCCAGACAGCCAGGAUGUUGGCUUAGAAGCAGCCAUCAUUUAAAGAAAGCGUAAUAGCUCACUGGUCGAGUCGGCCUGCGCGGAAGAUGUAACGGGGCUAAACCAUGCACCGAAGCUGCGGCAGCGAACGUAUCACUUAAAGCGAUUCAGCGGGUUACGAUUGACGGAGCGAAGCGACGUCAAAGCGUAUACAAAGUCGAGUCGGUUUAAGGAUACGUUCGUUGGGUAGGGGAGCGUUCUGUAAGCCUGUGAAGGUGUGUCGUGAGGCAUGCUGGAGGUAUCAGAAGUGCGAAUGCUGACAUAAGUAACGAUAAAGCGGGUGAAAAGCCCGCUCGCCGGAAGACCAAGGGUUCCUGUCCAACGUUAAUCGGGGCAGGGUGAGUCGACCCCUAAGGCGAGGCCGAAAGGCGUAGUCGAUGGGAAACGGGUUAAUAUUCCCGUACUUGGUGUUACUGCGAAGGGGGGACGGAGAAGGCUAUGUUGGCCGGGCGACGGUUGUCCCGGUUUAAGCGUGUAGGCUGGUUUUCCAGGCAAAUCCGGAAAAUCAAGGCUGAGGCGUGAUGACGAGGCACUACGGUGCUGAAGCAACAAAUGCCCUGCUUCCAGGAAAAGCCUCUAAGCAUCAGGUAACAUCAAAUCGUACCCCAAACCGACACAGGUGGUCAGGUAGAGAAUACCAAGGCGCUUGAGAGAACUCGGGUGAAGGAACUAGGCAAAAUGGUGCCGUAACUUCGGGAGAAGGCACGCUGACACGUAGGUGAAGUGAUUUACUCAUGGAGCUGAAGUCAGUCGAAGAUACCAGCUGGCUGCAACUGUUUAUUAAAAACACAGCACUGUGCAAACACGAAAGUGGACGUAUACGGUGUGACGCCUGCCCGGUGCCGGAAGGUUAAUUGAUGGGGUCAGCGCAAGCGAAGCUCCUGAUCGAAGCCCCGGUAAACGGCGGCCGUAACUAUAACGGUCCUAAGGUAGCGAAAUUCCUUGUCGGGUAAGUUCCGACCUGCACGAAUGGCGUAAUGAUGGCCAGGCUGUCUCCACCCGAGACUCAGUGAAAUUGAACUCGCUGUGAAGAUGCAGUGUACCCGCGGCAAGACGGAAAGACCCCGUGAACCUUUACUAUAGCUUGACACUGAACAUUGAGCCUUGAUGUGUAGGAUAGGUGGGAGGCUUUGAAGCGUGGACGCCAGUCUGCGUGGAGCCGACCUUGAAAUACCACCCUUUAAUGUUUGAUGUUCUAACGUGGACCCGUGAUCCGGGUUGCGGACAGUGUCUGGUGGGUAGUUUGACUGGGGCGGUCUCCUCCUAAAGAGUAACGGAGGAGCACGAAGGUUGGCUAAUCCUGGUCGGACAUCAGGAGGUUAGUGCAAUGGCAUAAGCCAGCUUGACUGCGAGCGUGACGGCGCGAGCAGGUGCGAAAGCAGGUCAUAGUGAUCCGGUGGUUCUGAAUGGAAGGGCCAUCGCUCAACGGAUAAAAGGUACUCCGGGGAUAACAGGCUGAUACCGCCCAAGAGUUCAUAUCGACGGCGGUGUUUGGCACCUCGAUGUCGGCUCAUCACAUCCUGGGGCUGAAGUAGGUCCCAAGGGUAUGGCUGUUCGCCAUUUAAAGUGGUACGCGAGCUGGGUUUAGAACGUCGUGAGACAGUUCGGUCCCUAUCUGCCGUGGGCGCUGGAGAACUGAGGGGGGCUGCUCCUAGUACGAGAGGACCGGAGUGGACGCAUCACUGGUGUUCGGGUUGUCAUGCCAAUGGCACUGCCCGGUAGCUAAAUGCGGAAGAGAUAAGUGCUGAAAGCAUCUAAGCACGAAACUUGCCCCGAGAUGAGUUCUCCCUGAGACUUAAAGUCUCCUGAAGGAACGUUGAAGACGACGACGUUGAUAGGCCGGGUGUGUAAGCGCAGCGAUGCGUUGAGCUAACCGGUACUAAUGAACCGUGAGGCUUAACCUUACAACGCCGAAGAUGUUUUG